GCUUUUAAAGGAAAAAAGAUAUCCACUAAUCUUAGGCAUUAACCCCUCUUGGUGCAAUUCCAAGUGAAAGCA
RNAcentral lists this transfer RNA (72 nucleotides) under Hemitheconyx caudicinctus (African fat-tailed gecko). RNAcentral's name for it is "tRNA-Leu". Lineage: Eukaryota; Metazoa; Chordata; Lepidosauria; Squamata; Eublepharidae. The record is from RNAcentral.